This is a long non-coding RNA of Phragmites australis (common reed), 803 nucleotides long. RefSeq lists it as uncharacterized. Lineage: Eukaryota; Viridiplantae; Streptophyta; Magnoliopsida; Poales; Poaceae. The transcript is spliced from 2 exons. The record is from RefSeq and is a predicted model, not a curated record.
CCGAGUUGUCUGUAGCAUUGGGUUGCGCUGUUGUUUCGCUCCACUCCGGCUAUAGGCUCUUUUGCCUGGCUAGUCUGUUGUGGAUCCUCGUCCACAAGACCAUCUUUUAUCCUUUUCAGGCGGCACAGGGGAACCCGAGGUCGGGAUCCUGGCAAAGCGAAUCAUGGAAGAUGGAUGGAGAUGGCGUGUUAACAAAGUCAAGCAAAGGGGAUGCUGGUGCAAGUGACAAGAUGGCUCAAGGGAUCGGGAGCGAGAGAAACUUGUCGGUGACCAAUAUCGCAAGAUGAGGUACACGCGUCAAUAUCAGAGCGCUUCCUUAAGGUGUAAGAAAGUGGCGAGUAACGCUUUGAGAAGCGUGCAAAGGGUUUCAUGGUUUGGCCUCAAAACCGUGGGGGGACUAGAGGAGUACGUGGCACCGUCAUGAAGCUUGUGUCGAGGCAAAGCUAAGUCGUGAAGGCGUCGUGGUCAUCCGAUGGAUCAAGAGCAAAAUGGACGAUAAUACCCUCGUGGUAGGUAGGAGAGAAUUGGAAUGUGGUAGGUAGGAGGGGCACUUUGGGAACAAGAAAAUUUGGCUUCUAAGGAGUCUCCCUAUGCCUAUAAAUAGAGGGGUAAGGCUAGACGAGAGGGUGAACUAGCCACUUGAGCCCCUUGUGCCUAUUAUUUGUGAGCUUUGUGCUAGGGUUUUAUAGGAAAGGAGGAUGAGGGCUUAGCCUAUGUAUUAAGUGAGAGUUUUUUAGAGGAAAAUAUUUGUAACCUAUCUAAAAUAGGCUGAGCUCUGCUAGUAAUGAAGUUUAUUUUCCUUC